UACGUAGGGGGCUAGCGUUGUCCGGAAUCAUUGGGCGUAAAGCGCGCGUAGGCGGCCAGAUAAGUCCGGUGUGAAAGUCACAGGCUCAACCUGUGAAUGCCGCUGGAAACUGCCUGGCUUGAGUCCGGAAGGGGCGAGUGGAAUUCCUGGUGUAGCGGUGAAAUGCGCAGAUAUCAGGAGGAACACCAAUGGCGAAGGCGGCUUUCUGGUCUGCUCUUGACGCUGAGGCGCGAAAGCUAGGGUAGCAAACGGG
RNAcentral lists this ribosomal RNA (253 nucleotides) under uncultured bacterium. RNAcentral describes it as "partial 16S ribosomal RNA". It matches the Rfam family "Bacterial small subunit ribosomal RNA", at positions 524 to 776 of the family's 1533-position model. The record is from RNAcentral.